AAAAAAGGUGCAAUGAGAGUGGAUGGUUUGCAAGUUUUCCUGACUCUGCGGCCGAGAGAAGGGAGAGCGGGGGGGGGGGGGAGCGCGCUGUUAGGGCAGUGAAUGCUAUCAGCACUCAGGCUGAGUGAGUUAGUCAAACCUAGGGAGGCCAGCCGACAACAACAACAACAAAGGAAUAAAGCUUGAUCAUAUUCCGCGGCAGUUGGUUGAGUUUAUCUUGAAGAACCAAACCUAGGGUUUUCUGUAAGCCCUCUCCUUACCACCCGUCAACCUGGAUAGUUUUUACUCAACGUUUUCAAAUCUUCCCCGAUCUAUCUCCAAGACGAAGCAAGUCUCAA
This 338-nucleotide long non-coding RNA is filed under the name Eurytemora carolleeae. RNAcentral's name for it is "uncharacterized LOC111703607". Lineage: Eukaryota; Metazoa; Arthropoda; Copepoda; Calanoida; Temoridae. The record is from RNAcentral.